CCAAUAGCGUAUAUUAAAGUUGUUGCAGUUAAAAAGCUCGUAGUUGAAUUUCGGGAUCAAUUUAUCGGUCGUGCCUAUGGUAUGAACUGGUACAAUUGGUUUCUCCCUUCUGACGAAGCAUGAUGUCAUUAAUUUGGUGUCGUGGGGAAUCAGGACUGUUACUUUGAAAAAAUUAGAGUGUUUAAAGCAAGCAUUAGCUUGAAUACAUUA
Molecule: ribosomal RNA, 210 nt
Filed under: uncultured Glomus
Lineage: Eukaryota; Fungi; Glomeromycota; Glomeromycetes; Glomerales; Glomeraceae
Description: partial small subunit ribosomal RNA
Rfam family: Eukaryotic small subunit ribosomal RNA
Source: RNAcentral